RNAcentral lists this transfer RNA (69 nucleotides) under Snodgrassella alvi. RNAcentral's name for it is "tRNA-Arg". Lineage: Bacteria; Pseudomonadati; Pseudomonadota; Betaproteobacteria; Neisseriales; Neisseriaceae. The record is from RNAcentral.
GUAAUAAUUCAAUAGCGGUUCGGUUUCCGAAGCCGAAGGUCACAGGUUCGAUCCCUGUUGGAUACACCA